RNAcentral lists this ribosomal RNA (1121 nucleotides) under Salmonella enterica subsp. enterica serovar Carrau. Its description in RNAcentral is "bacterial SSU rRNA". It matches the Rfam family "Bacterial small subunit ribosomal RNA", at positions 1 to 1116 of the family's 1533-position model. The record is from RNAcentral. Lineage: Bacteria; Pseudomonadati; Pseudomonadota; Gammaproteobacteria; Enterobacterales; Enterobacteriaceae.
GAAGAGUUUGAUCAUGGCUCAGAUUGAACGCUGGCGGCAGGCCUAACACAUGCAAGUCGAACGGUAACAGGAAGCAGCUUGCUGCUUUGCUGACGAGUGGCGGACGGGUGAGUAAUGUCUGGGAAACUGCCUGAUGGAGGGGGAUAACUACUGGAAACGGUGGCUAAUACCGCAUAACGUCGCAAGACCAAAGAGGGGGACCUUCGGGCCUCUUGCCAUCAGAUGUGCCCAGAUGGGAUUAGCUUGUUGGUGAGGUAACGGCUCACCAAGGCGACGAUCCCUAGCUGGUCUGAGAGGAUGACCAGCCACACUGGAACUGAGACACGGUCCAGACUCCUACGGGAGGCAGCAGUGGGGAAUAUUGCACAAUGGGCGCAAGCCUGAUGCAGCCAUGCCGCGUGUAUGAAGAAGGCCUUCGGGUUGUAAAGUACUUUCAGCGGGGAGGAAGGUGUUGUGGUUAAUAACCGCAGCAAUUGACGUUACCCGCAGAAGAAGCACCGGCUAACUCCGUGCCAGCAGCCGCGGUAAUACGGAGGGUGCAAGCGUUAAUCGGAAUUACUGGGCGUAAAGCGCACGCAGGCGGUCUGUCAAGUCGGAUGUGAAAUCCCCGGGCUCAACCUGGGAACUGCAUUCGAAACUGGCAGGCUUGAGUCUUGUAGAGGGGGGUAGAAUUCCAGGUGUAGCGGUGAAAUGCGUAGAGAUCUGGAGGAAUACCGGUGGCGAAGGCGGCCCCCUGGACAAAGACUGACGCUCAGGUGCGAAAGCGUGGGGAGCAAACAGGAUUAGAUACCCUGGUAGUCCACGCCGUAAACGAUGUCUACUUGGAGGUUGUGCCCUUGAGGCGUGGCUUCCGGAGCUAACGCGUUAAGUAGACCGCCUGGGGAGUACGGCCGCAAGGUUAAAACUCAAAUGAAUUGACGGGGGCCCGCACAAGCGGUGGAGCAUGUGGUUUAAUUCGAUGCAACGCGAAGAACCUUACCUGGUCUUGACAUCCACAGAACUUUCCAGAGAUGGAUUGGUGCCUUCGGGAACUGUGAGACAGGUGCUGCAUGGCUGUCGUCAGCUCGUGUUGUGAAAUGUUGGGUUAAGUCCCGCAACGAGCGCAACCCUUAUCCUUUGUU